UCCUAAAUCAUUAAAGAAAGAAAUGAAAAAAACUUAAUACCUAAGGAGAAAUAAAACCUAAUAACAAAAACCUCUAACCUGUUUGGGUUCCUAAACACAUUUCCUCUUUUUUACAUCUGUAACUAUCACCGGAGCCAUCUGGUUUCUUCCAUCACUGUAUUGUUCUUCGAAAACCCUACCAGACCUCUCCAAAGCCUGAGUUCUUCGGAGAAAAUAUGUACCAUUUUUCUUUAAAAACACCAUCACCAAACUCAGAAUGGUAACACAACUCCUUUAACAUUCCAAAACCCUUCUAUGAUCGUUGACAAUGAUAGGCUCUACUUCCGAUGAUACCUCUUCCAUCCAGUAGAUCAGGGCAUCACCUUCCACAACCAGAUCUAAAAAGCCCAUUUCUUCCCCGAAAAUAAUAACUUCAAGACAAGCCUUCGCUUCUGCUGCAAUCGAAUCCCCAGUUCUUCCUAGUGGGUAACUACUAGAUCCCACAACAAAGCCAUCCUGAUCUCUUGUAAUGAUUCAUGUUGUCGCUUUCAUUUCCUGUUGAUAGAAUGCUACAUCAAAAUUAAUCUUGCCUUGUUCUGGGGGUCUCCAAAAUUCCUCCCUUGGUUUAAUAUUAGAUUCUGUAAUGGAUUUCAUUUGAUCCAACUCAAAGGCGUAGGCUUUAAUUAUAACGCCCCCAAAACUGAUGUUAGAAUUAUUCAGGCUAGUUGGUUGGAUUAGUGGUUCAGUAAGACUGUUAAGUUAGUUUUCAUGCUUUGGGAGCAAAAUGAGUUUGUUGGUUUAGUGGCUAACUCUUUGGUAGCUUACUUUUGGUCUUGGGUUUAAGUCCCCAUGUAUGUAAUGUGGGAAUUUUUUCAAAGUAUUUUUGUUUUUAAUUCUUUAAAAUAUUGUUAAUUAAAAUUUGAGGGGUUUUGACAAA
Gossypium arboreum is the source of this 916-nucleotide long non-coding RNA. RefSeq lists it as uncharacterized. The record is from RefSeq and is a predicted model, not a curated record. Lineage: Eukaryota; Viridiplantae; Streptophyta; Magnoliopsida; Malvales; Malvaceae. The transcript is spliced from 2 exons.